UUGAACGCUGGCGGCAGGCCUAACACAUGCAAGUCGAGCGGAUGAAGGGAGCUUGCUCCUGGAUUCAGCGGCGGACGGGUGAGUAAUGCCUAGGAAUCUGCCUGGUAGUGGGGGAUAACGUCCGGAAACGGGCGCUAGUACCGCAUACGUCCUGAGGGAGAAAGUGGGGGAUCUUCGGACCUCACGCUAUCAGAUGAGCCUAGGUCGGAUUAGCUAGUUGGUGGGGUAAAGGCCUACCAAGGCGACGAUCCGUAACUGGUCUGAGAGGAUGAUCAGUCACACUGGAACUGAGACACGGUCCAGACUCCUACGGGAGGCAGCAGUGGGGAAUAUUGGACAAUGGGCGAAAGCCUGAUCCAGCCAUGCCGCGUGUGUGAAGAAGGUCUUCGGAUUGUAAAGCACUUUAAGUUGGGAGGAAGGGCAGUAAGUUAAUACCUUGCUGUUUUGACGUUACCAACAGAAUAAGCACCGGCUAACUUCGUG
Molecule: ribosomal RNA, 483 nt
Filed under: uncultured bacterium
Lineage: Bacteria
Description: partial 16S ribosomal RNA
Rfam family: Bacterial small subunit ribosomal RNA
Source: RNAcentral